UACGUAGGGGGCAAGCGUUGUCCGGAAUCAUUGGGCGUAAAGCGCGUGUAGGCGGCCCGGUAAGUCCGCUGUGAAAGUCGGGGGCUCAACCCUCGGAUGCCGGUGGAUACUGUCGGGCUAGAGUGCGGGAGAGGCGAGUGGAAUUCCUGGUGUAGCGGUGAAAUGCGCAGAUAUCAGGAAGAACACCAAUGGCGAAGGCAGCUCUCUGGGACGGUACUGACGCUGAGACGCGAAAGCGUGGGGAGCGAACAGG
RNAcentral lists this ribosomal RNA (253 nucleotides) under uncultured bacterium. Its description in RNAcentral is "partial 16S ribosomal RNA". It matches the Rfam family "Bacterial small subunit ribosomal RNA", at positions 524 to 776 of the family's 1533-position model. The record is from RNAcentral.